UGAAAAUGACAUAAUUGCAUUUUC
Molecule: non-coding RNA, 24 nt
Filed under: Rattus norvegicus (Norway rat)
Lineage: Eukaryota; Metazoa; Chordata; Mammalia; Rodentia; Muridae
Source: RNAcentral